GACGGGGUAGCCCAACGGCAGAGGCAGCCGACUCAGACUCGGCCCAGUGAGGGUUCGAAUCCCUCCCCUGUUA
RNAcentral lists this transfer RNA (73 nucleotides) under Planctomycetota bacterium. Its description in RNAcentral is "tRNA-Leu". It matches the Rfam family "tRNA". From Rfam's summary of the family: Transfer RNA (tRNA) molecules are approximately 80 nucleotides in length. Lineage: Bacteria; Pseudomonadati; Planctomycetota. The record is from RNAcentral.